Molecule: ribosomal RNA, 492 nt
Filed under: uncultured bacterium
Lineage: Bacteria
Description: partial 16S ribosomal RNA
Rfam family: Bacterial small subunit ribosomal RNA
Source: RNAcentral
GAUGAACGCUAGCUACAGGCUUAACACAUGCAAGUCGAGGGGAAACGGCAUUGAGUGCUUGCACUCUUUGGACGUCGACCGGCGCACGGGUGAGUAACGCGUAUCCAACCUUCCCAUUACUGUGGGAUAACCUGCCGAAAGGCAGACUAAUACCGCAUAGUCUUCGAUGACGGCAUCAGAUUUGAAGUAAAGAUUUAUCGGUAAUGGAUGGGGAUGCGUCUGAUUAGCUUGUUGGCGGGGUAACGGCCCACCAAGGCUACGAUCAGUAGGGGUUCUGAGAGGAAGGUCCCCCACAUUGGAACUGAGACCCGGUCCAAACUCCUACGGGAGGCAGCAGUGAGGAAUAUUGGUCAAUGGACGGAAGUCUGAACCAGCCAAGUAGCGUGCAGGAUGACGGCCCUAUGGGUUGUAAACUGCUUUUGUAUGGGGAUAAAGUUAGGGACGUGUCCCUAUUUGCAGGUACCAUACGAAUAAGGACCGGCUAAUUCCGUG